AACAGAGUAGAAAUUUGUGCGUAAAGUGUUUUGUGGACGGGGAGUUGCCACAAAAACGAAAGGGUAUCCUGCGGUACAAGUUUCGCAUCCCGCUGUU
Regulatory RNA element from Eubacterium sp. CAG:202, 97 nucleotides. It matches the Rfam family "THF (Tetrahydrofolate) riboswitch aptamer". Rfam says of the family: THF riboswitch presents a pseudoknot that joins P1-P2 and the loop of P3 and two THF binding. NCBI's taxonomy places the organism in Bacteria, Bacillati, Bacillota, Clostridia, Eubacteriales, Eubacteriaceae. The record is from Rfam.